CCAAUAGCGUAUAUUAGUGUUGUUGCGGUUAAAAAGCUCGUAGUUGAAUUUCGGGAUUGGGAUACAUCGGUCGUGCCUUUUGGGGCAUGAAUCGGUGUGUGGUCAAUUCUCACCUUCUGGUAAAUCGGGAUGCUCUCGGGUGUUUCGAUGAACUAGGACCUUUACUUUGAAAAAAUUAGAGUGUUUAAAGCGGGCAUUUUUGCUUGAAUACAUUAGCAUGGAAUAAUAAAAUAGGACGAUGGUUCUAUUUUGUUGGUUUUAGGACCACGUAAUGAUUAAUAGGGAUAGUUGGGGGCAUUAGUAUUCAAUUGUCAGAGGUGAAAUUCUUGGAUUAAUUGAGGACUAACUACUGCGAAAGCAUUUGCCAAGGAUGUUUUCAUUAAUCAAGAACGAAAGUUAGGGGAUCGAAGACGAUUUAUGUACGUCGUAGUCUUAACCAUAAACUAUGCCGACUAGGAAUCAGACAAAGUUCAUUUUUUAACGACUUGUUUGGUACCUUACG
RNAcentral lists this ribosomal RNA (502 nucleotides) under uncultured Glomeromycotina. RNAcentral describes it as "partial small subunit ribosomal RNA". It matches the Rfam family "Eukaryotic small subunit ribosomal RNA", at positions 591 to 1092 of the family's 1831-position model. The record is from RNAcentral. Lineage: Eukaryota; Fungi; Glomeromycota.